Molecule: ribosomal RNA, 678 nt
Filed under: Arthrobacter psychrochitiniphilus
Lineage: Bacteria; Bacillati; Actinomycetota; Actinomycetes; Micrococcales; Micrococcaceae
Description: bacterial SSU rRNA
Rfam family: Bacterial small subunit ribosomal RNA
Source: RNAcentral
UGAUGCAGCGACGCCGCGUGAGGGAUGACGGCCUUCGGGUUGUAAACCUCUUUCAGUAGGGAACAAGGCCAGCCUGUUGGUUGGUUGAGGGUACUUGCAGAAGAAGCGCCGGCUAACUACGUGCCAGCAGCCGCGGUAAUACGUAGGGCGCAAGCGUUAUCCGGAAUUAUUGGGCGUAAAGAGCUCGUAGGCGGUUUGUCGCGUCUGCCGUGAAAGUCCGGGGCUCAACUCCGGAUCUGCGGUGGGUACGGGCAGACUAGAGUGAUGUAGGGGAGACUGGAAUUCCUGGUGUAGCGGUGAAAUGCGCAGAUAUCAGGAGGAACACCGAUGGCGAAGGCAGGUCUCUGGGCAUUAACUGACGCUGAGGAGCGAAAGCAUGGGGAGCGAACAGGAUUAGAUACCCUGGUAGUCCAUGCCGUAAACGUUGGGCACUAGGUGUGGGGGACAUUCCACGUUUUCCGCGCCGUAGCUAACGCAUUAAGUGCCCCGCCUGGGGAGUACGGCCGCAAGGCUAAAACUCAAAGGAAUUGACGGGGGCCCGCACAAGCGGCGGAGCAUGCGGAUUAAUUCGAUGCAACGCGAAGAACCUUACCAAGGCUUGACAUGAACCGGAAAGACCUGGAAACAGGUGCCCCGCUUGCGGUCGGUUUACAGGUGGUGCAUGGUUGUCGUCAGCUC